GACGAACGCUGGCGGCGUGCCUAAUACAUGCAAGUAGAACGCUGAAGGAGGAGCUUGCUUCUCUGGAUGAGUUGCGAACGGGUGAGUAACGCGUAGGUAACCUGCCUGGUAGCGGGGGAUAACUAUUGGAAACGAUAGCUAAUACCGCAUAAGAGUAGAUGUUGCAUGACAUUUGCUUAAAAGGUGCAAUUGCAUCACUACCAGAUGGACCUGCGUUGUAUUAGCUAGUUGGUGGGGUAACGGCUCACCAAGGCGACGAUACAUAGCCGACCUGAGAGGGUGAUCGGCCACACUGGGACUGAGACACGGCCCAGACUCCUACGGGAGGCAGCAGUAGGGAAUCUUCGGCAAUGGACGGAAGUCUGACCGAGCAACGCCGCGUGAGUGAAGAAGGUUUUCGGAUCGUAAAGCUCUGUUGUAGGAGAAGAACGAGUGUGAGAGUGGAAAGUUCACACUGUGACGGUAUCUUACCAGAAAGGGACGGCUAACUACGUG
This 495-nucleotide ribosomal RNA is filed under the name uncultured bacterium. Its description in RNAcentral is "partial 16S ribosomal RNA". It matches the Rfam family "Bacterial small subunit ribosomal RNA", at positions 28 to 507 of the family's 1533-position model. The record is from RNAcentral.